GCAUGCUCUAUAUGAAAUGCUAAAAUUACCGUACAACUACACCCAAUCACAGAUGGCAUCAGCCAGAGCAUGGAUUGCCUUGACAUUUUGCAAGAACAAGAAAAUGCCACAGAAACAUCUAGUCACUACAACUGAUGACAGUGAUUAUACCUGUGCUAAUGACAGUAAGUGUAUCGAUGAUGUGCAGGAAGAUGUACGCAUAAUGCACUAAAGACUUUUACAUAGAUGUU
Molecule: long non-coding RNA, 230 nt
Organism: Corticium candelabrum
Lineage: Eukaryota; Metazoa; Porifera; Homoscleromorpha; Homosclerophorida; Plakinidae
Exons: 3
Source: RefSeq, a predicted model, not a curated record